CCUACGGGUGGCUGCAGUGGGGAAUAUUGGACAAUGGGCGAAAGCCUGAUCCAGCCAUGCCGCGUGUGUGAAGAAGGCCUUCGGGUUGUAAAGCACUUUCAGUGGGGAAGAAAGCCUUGGGGCUAAUACCCUCGAGGAAGGACAUCACCCACAGAAGAAGCACCGGCUAACUCCGUGCCAGCAGCCGCGGUAAUACGGAGGGUGCGAGCGUUAAUCGGAAUUACUGGGCGUAAAGCGCGCGUAGGCGGUCUGAUAAGCCGGUUGUGAAAGCCCCGGGCUCAACCUGGGAACGGCAUCCGGAACUGUCAGGCUAGAGUGCAGGAGAGGAAGGUAGAAUUCCCGGUGUAGCGGUGAAAUGCGUAGAGAUCGGGAGGAAUACCAGUGGCGAAGGCGGCCUUCUGGACUGACACUGACGCCGAGGUGCGAAAGCGUGGGUAGCAAACAGGAUUAGAUACCCCUGUAGUC
This 465-nucleotide ribosomal RNA is filed under the name Vreelandella stevensii. RNAcentral's name for it is "partial 16S ribosomal RNA". It matches the Rfam family "Bacterial small subunit ribosomal RNA", at positions 338 to 795 of the family's 1533-position model. Lineage: Bacteria; Pseudomonadati; Pseudomonadota; Gammaproteobacteria; Oceanospirillales; Halomonadaceae. The record is from RNAcentral.